GAUAUGGUAGUUUAAAAAAAACAUUAAAUUGUAAAUUUAAAAUUAUUGACUUUCAUAUUA
Molecule: transfer RNA, 60 nt
Filed under: Whitmania acranulata
Lineage: Eukaryota; Metazoa; Annelida; Clitellata; Hirudinida; Haemopidae
Description: tRNA-Tyr
Source: RNAcentral